Molecule: ribosomal RNA, 492 nt
Filed under: uncultured bacterium
Lineage: Bacteria
Description: partial 16S ribosomal RNA
Rfam family: Bacterial small subunit ribosomal RNA
Source: RNAcentral
AGUGAACGCUGGCGGUAGGCCUAACACAUGCAAGUCGAACGGCAGCACAGUAAGAGCUUGCUCUUACGGGUGGCGAGUGGCGGACGGGUGGGGAAUACAUCGGAAUCUACUUUUUCGUGGGGGAUAACGUAGGGAAACUUACGCUAAUACCGCAUACGACCUACGGGUGAAAGCAGGGGAUCUUCGGACCUUGCGCGAUUGAAUGAGCCGAUGUCGGAUUAGCUAGUUGGCGGGGUAAAGGCCCACCAAGGCGACGAUCCGUAGCUGGUCUGAGAGGAUGAUCAGCCACACUGGAACUGAGACACGGUCCAGGCUCCUACGGGAGGCAGCAGUGGGGAAUAUUGGACAAAGGGCGCAAGCCUGAUCCAGCCAUACCGCGUGGGUGAAGAAGGCCUUCGGGUUGUAAAGCCCUUUUGUUGGGAAAGAAAAGCAGCAGGUUAAUACCCCGCUGUUCUGACGGUACCCAAAGAAUAAGCACCGGCUAACUUCGUG